UCUUGCAAUGUGAGACCCCUGGGUCACUGUUGCUACCACCAGAUGAAAUUUGGACUUCCCAGCCUCAGAAACUAUUCUAGAAGCCUCUCACAGCAUCCCGGCUCUCCUCAAAUCACUGUCCAUCCGAAGAGCCUCCAGCGCCAUGGGGUCUGAUGCAAACUCCUCCUGCCUCCAUCUCCGUCCGCCUUCGCACCGACCCUCAUCCAUUUGGAGGCCUCUGCACCAGUUGAAAGGUCUCCGUGCUGUGUCUCACAGUAUCUGAACCCACUGGCACCUUGAAGCCAACAUUCUUUUGGUUUCUGGUACCUGAAACGUUCCCCUCUCUUCUUUACCUUUCUUUCCACUCCUUCCCAGCUCCAUUCAAACUUCAAUCCAGUAAUUAUAAGCAAGUGACAAAAUCUUAUUGAGCCUGUUUUCUCACACAUGUGACAGAUAGUACAUAUCUCAAUGGCUGUUGCAAGAUUUAAGUGUUGUCAUGAACGUGAAGUGUUUAAUAUUGAUCAAUGAUUGGUUACCAUUUCUGUACUGAAGACAUCCCUCCUAGAGACAUUGUUUCUUGUGCUCCCGUCUGGAUACUCUGCUUGCUGCACAGCUGUAAACCUGCCACAUUUUGCCAGGACUUCCUCUUUUGAGCCCAAACCACCCACUGUCUGGAUUAUGUCACUGGAUCAAACACAUCCUUCCAUUGCUUCACGAGAAAAGUUCCUAGCACAGUGCUUGGUGCACGUCGUGUGCGUUUGCAUCUUGUUAGGAUUAUGCAUACAUCUGUGAAAUACAUGAGGAAGACUGCUCUUAGAGUUGAUCUGCAGAGGAGAAAACCUCCGGAAGCGAAGCAGCGCACACAGACUGGAUUUCCACAGCAGAGCCCCAUUUCCUAUCACAGAAGUUGGGGACAGUCAGGGCUCCAAGUAGGAUUUCCCUUGGCGGCUGCUGAUCCUUAGGACGCUCCAGUGUCAAAGGGAACUGCUCGCCGUCCCACCUCACUUUUGGCCCAGUGGCUGCUGGAACCUCAAGCCCUGGAGAAAGGGGCGGGCCACCCGCGCUGCUCCCAGGAGAGCACCCCCCCCCGGGCGGGCGGGCUGUUCCUGGAUUGCGAAAGCCACUCCCCGAGCUCCCCAACCCUGUACUACAUCCACUUUAUCCAGCUUUUCGUUGUACUUUGGAUAUCCCUGUAAUAAACGGACAAGAAACUCGGAAGGAAUCCCGAACCGUCUGCACUCAGGAAUAAUAGUGAACUACGCAACUGAGACACGCAUCAAAUACACAGAAAUGUCCUGUGUUGAAAACGUUUGCACAC
Long non-coding RNA from Cynocephalus volans (Philippine flying lemur), 1297 nucleotides. RefSeq lists it as uncharacterized. The transcript is spliced from 4 exons. The record is from RefSeq and is a predicted model, not a curated record. NCBI's taxonomy places the organism in Eukaryota, Metazoa, Chordata, Mammalia, Dermoptera, Cynocephalidae.